UAUCCUGCUUAAAAAAUGAAGAUGACACACCUUAACCAGGUGAAGAAGUGAAAGAGAAAAGGGUAGAGGACGACAUUCUGUGGCUUUCCCUGUAUUAUUACCCUCAGUGAACCUGUAUGGACACACAUUUUGGGUAAAUGACAGCAGGUGAACACUAAAAUGAGUCUAAAGAAGAGAGAAGAUGAGGACUCUGACUCUGAAAUGAGUUCUGCAUCUCCUGGAUCAAUCUGUGGAUCUGUAGAGAGUGAUGGGUCCAUUGAGAAAACUCCUCCUGCCCUCAAUAAUGCAUCAGUGACCUCUGACCUCAGUGUAAUCAGGAGGAAGAGACCGAGAUCAGAGUCUCCAAAGCCCAGUGGUGUUUCUCUGAAGAGUGACAGAUCUAUGAAUUUUCCUCCGCUAUUAAGUGUUGAACCAGUGACCUCUGACCCGCAGAGAAAAAAGAUACGUAAGCUGAUCACACCAGUUCCAAACUCAACACCCAACUAUCAGACUCCCAUUAUACAGGACAACACUGAUGCACACAUGCUAGAGACUGGAGACCUGCAGAGAGUCAAAGACCAGCACAAAACCAACAUGAAGAAUAAAUAUGAGAGAUUAUUUGAGGGAAUCAAACUCCAAGAGAAUCAAACCCUCCUGAACCGCAUCUACACCCAGCUGUACAUCAUAGAGGGAGAGAGUGAAGGAGUGAAUGAAGAACAUGAGGUUUUACAGAUGGAGAAAACAGCCAGAACAAAACACUCCCAACACACUCCAAUCUACUGCAAUGACAUCUUUAAAGAGGAGAAAGAGCAAAUCAAGACUGUUCUUACUAAAGGCAUCGCUGGAAUCGGAAAAACCGUCUCUGUGCAGAAGUUCAUUCUGGACUGGGCCGAGGGAAAAGCCAAUCAGGAUGUAGAUUUCAUGUUUGUGCUUCCAUUUCGAGAGCUGAACUUGAUCAGAGAUCAUCAGUACAGUCUUCACAGACUUCUGCUGGACUUUCAUCCUGAACUUGAAGAUCUGGAGCCCAAGAUUUAUGAGGAGUGUAAAGUUGUGUUCAUCUUUGAUGGUCUGGAUGAAAGCAGAAUCACACUGAUGUUUUCAGACGCUCAGAAAGUUUGUGAUGUGACUGAGACUUCAUCAGUGGCUGUGUUGAUGUCAAAGCUGAUGAAAGGAGAGCUGCUUCCCUCUGCUCUCAUCUGGAUCACCUCCAGACCAGCAGCAGCCAAUCAGAUCCCCUCCAAAUACAUCAAGCGUCUGACAGAAAUUCAGGGAUUCACUGAGCCUCAGAAGGAGGAAUAUUUCAGGAAGAGAAUCAGUGAGCAGCAUCAAGCCAGCAGAAUCAUCUCACACAUCAGAAGAGCAAGAAGCCUCCACAUCAUGUGCCACAUACCCGUCUUCUGCUGGAUCUCAUCCACUGUGCUUCAGAAGCUUCUGGAAGAAGAUCUGAGUGCAGAAAUCCCUCAAACUCUGACUGAAAUGUACAUCCACUUCCUGCUGAUUCAGAUCAACAUGAGGAAUCAGAAGUAUGAAGAGAGAGAUCCAGAGAAACUCCUGCAGUCCAACAGAGAAGUGAUUGUCAAACUUGCUGAAGUGGCUUUCAGACAGCUGAUGAAGGGCAAUGUGAUGUUCUAUGAGGAGGACCUGAUUGAGAGCGGCGUAAAUGUCACUUAUGCCUCAGUGUAUUCUGGGAUUUGCACUGAGAUCUUAAGGGAAGAAUCUGUGUAUCAGCAGAGGAAAGUCUACAGCUUCAUCCAUCUGAGUGUUCAGGAGUUCCUCGCUGCUUUCUAUGUGUUUUACCACAACAUAAGCAACACCACAGAGGCAUGUUUAGAUUCACUGCAUGAUUUACAGAGAAGAGCAGUAGAUAAAGCCACUGAGGGUAAGAGUGGUCAUCUGGAUCUGUUCCUGCGGUUCCUGCUGGGCGUCUCACUGGAGUCCAAUCAGAGACUCUUCCAGGAUCUACUGACACACACAGAGAAGAGCUCAGAGAGCAUCAGGAGAAGCACACAGUACAUUAAAGAGAAGAUCAGAGAUGGACAUGGACUCUCCACUGAAAGAUCCAUCAAUCUGUUCCUCUGUCUGCUGGAAGUGAAAGAUCAGACUCUGUCCAGAGAGAUUCAGGAGUUUGUGAAAUCAGACAAACAGUCAGAGAAGAAACUCUCUCCUGCUCACUGCUCAACAAUCGCCUACAUGCUUCAGAUGUCAGAGGAGGUGCUGGAUGAGCUGGAGCUCCAGAAAUACAACACAUCAGAUGAGGGCAGAAGAAGACUGAUACCAGCCGUCAGCAACUGCACAAGAGCUCUUCUUGCUGGCUGUAAUCUCUCUGCUCAGGAUUGUGAAAUUGUGUCGUCAGUUCUUCAAUCCUCAAACUGUGUCCUGAGAGAGCUGGACCUGAGUAACAAUGACCUGCAGGAUUCAGGAGUGAAGCUGCUCUCUGAUGGACUGAAGAGUCCAAACUGUCAGCUGGAGAUACUGAGGUUGUCUGGCUGUAUGGUGACAGAGGAAGGCUGUGGUUUUCUAUCUUCAGCUCUGAGUUCAAACCCCUCACACCUGAGAGAGCUGGAUCUGAGCUACAAUCACCCAGGACAAUCAGGAGUCCAGCUGCUCCAACACACACUGGAGGAUCCACACUACACACUGCAGAAACUCAAUUUAGAGAGUGGAGGAGACUUCAGAAUCACAUCAGGAUUAAGAAAAUAUGCUUGUCGCCUCUCACUGGAUCCAAAUACUACACAUAGUCGUCUCAUCUUGUCUGAAGGGAACAGAAGAACAUCACGUGUGAAAGAUCAUCAAAUUUAUCCUGAUUAUCCAGAGAGAUUCGAGCACUAUGAGCAGGUUCUGUGUAAAGAGACUCUGACUGGACGCUGUUACUGGGAGGCUGAAUGGAGCGGCUGGGGUCAUGUUGCAUUGUCAUAUAAAGGAAUCUGCAGGAAAGGAGGAAGCGACUGUCGGUUUGGACUCAAUGAAAAGUCCUGGAGUCUCUAUUGUUGUGAUGAUAGUUACACUUUUUGGCACAAAAAUAAGAGCACAAACAUCCCUGCUCCAUCAUCUCGUACUAAUAGAGUAGGAGUGUAUGUGGACGUGCCGUCCGGUUCUAUGUCUUUCUACAGCAUCUCUGACACAAACACACUCACACACUUACACACAUUCAACACCACAUUCACUGAAGACCUCUAUGCAGGAUUCAGAGUUCAUCCUGAUUCUUCAGUGACUCUGUGUGAGCUUUAAAAAACACUUUAAAGACAUGAAGAAGUAGAAACAAAGAAAUGUUUGUAUAGAGUAGUAGUUCUUAGCAUGUUCAAUUCAAUGGGUAGCAUGCAACUCAUGAUUAAUUAAUUUAAUAACCCUACACCCUUGUGGAAUAACUGAAAACACAGCAAUCAGUGCUAUAGCGCAAAUACAUUUUUUUAAUGUGCAGCAUGUAGGAUUGACCAUGUGGUUGAAGUAGGUAUUGCAGUCCAAAUUCAAUGUAUUGGAGAGGGUUCUUUUCCAGGUUUUUUUUGCCAGGUAGACAACAUAAACAUGAUCGAGCAUGCCUGACAACCAAGUCUUACAUUGUAAGCUGCUCAGCUAAUGUUUACAUUUGUAAUUUUUGAAUUGUUUGCUAAAUAAAAAAAACACCUCAUGUGGAUUUAAAUAACUGAAUCUCAUUUCGGAGACUGCUACUGCCUUCUGAAGGUGGGCAUUUUCGGCUGCGUCUGCAUACAUUGAUGCAUCCUUAAUGACUGAAAUGUAAUACGGUGCGUUUUCCAUCAGGGCAACCCAGGGUGCUUAAAGGUGCUGUAAGUUUUUGACUCUUCUAAAGCAUGCUCAGUGAACUUUCUUGUUUGUCUGAAAACUGUGCUGAAGUCUUUUUUCUGUGCCAGAACGUUGUCUUUGUUUUGGUCAUUUUAACCUGCCCAAUGAUUGUUUAGCCAGUUAUACUUCAGCACCCCGGGUUGCCUUGGUGGAAAACUGCAUAUUUAAUUAAUU
Danio rerio (zebrafish) is the source of this 3951-nucleotide non-coding RNA. The record is from RefSeq and is a predicted model, not a curated record. Lineage: Eukaryota; Metazoa; Chordata; Actinopteri; Cypriniformes; Danionidae.